GAUGAACGCUGGCGGCGUGCCUAAUACAUGCAAGUCGAGCGAACAGACGAGGAGCUUGCUCCUCUGACGUUAGCGGCGGACGGGUGAGUAACACGUGGAUAACCUACCUAUAAGACUGGGAUAACUUCGGGAAACCGGAGCUAAUACCGGAUAAUAUAUUGAACCGCAUGGUUCAAUAGUGAAAGACGGUUUUGCUGUCACUUAUAGAUGGAUCCGCGCCGCAUUAGCUAGUUGGUAAGGUAACGGCUUACCAAGGCAACGAUGCGUAGCCGACCUGGGAGGGUGAUCGGCCACCCGGGAACGGAGACACGGACCAGACGCCUAAGGGAGGCAGCAGUAGGGAAUCUUCCGCAAUGGGCGAAAGCCUGACGGAGCAACGCCGCGUGAGUGAUGAAGGUCUUCGGAGCGUAAAACUCUGUUAUUAGGGAAGAACAAAUGUGUAAGUAACUAUGCACGUCUUGACGGUACCUAAUCAGAAAGCCACGGCUAACUACGUG
Molecule: ribosomal RNA, 497 nt
Filed under: uncultured bacterium
Lineage: Bacteria
Description: partial 16S ribosomal RNA
Rfam family: Bacterial small subunit ribosomal RNA
Source: RNAcentral